This 252-nucleotide long non-coding RNA is filed under the name Lathyrus oleraceus (garden pea). RNAcentral's name for it is "Pisum sativum (pea) long non-coding RNA (PSAT_LNC004967)". Lineage: Eukaryota; Viridiplantae; Streptophyta; Magnoliopsida; Fabales; Fabaceae. The record is from RNAcentral.
GGUAUUUUAGAAGGGUGUUACAUUAGUGGUAUCAGAGCAUAGUUGGUCGAGUCGAGUCGUAAUUAUUCUGUUUCCCCUGUACGGGAUAGGUGUUGUGUAACCCUAUCAGUACUUAUUGUUUAGCUUGUUGGGUUUUCAGAAUAGAGAUGGCUGGAAGAGGUAGAGACGAUGCUGCGAUUGCUGAGGCUCUGGGUAUGCUAGCUGGAGUACUUGGAGGGAAUUCGAAUGUUGUGGGAAUGGGAGCUGCUCGUC